GGCCAUACCACCCUGAAAUGUGUCCGAUCGUGGAAGCUAAGCAGGGUCGGGCCUGGCUGGCACUUGGUGGGCCCAGGUGAGCGCCGGGAGCC
Molecule: ribosomal RNA, 92 nt
Filed under: Sorex araneus (European shrew)
Lineage: Eukaryota; Metazoa; Chordata; Mammalia; Eulipotyphla; Soricidae
Source: RNAcentral